UCUCAUGAGGCUGGAGCAACUGGCUAGGAUUAGCAGUGCACCCACUUUCUAUUAAGCUGGUUGAAAAAGUGGUAGGGAAAUAGUGUGCACGCAUUCUGUAAUCUAAAGACUCAAUUUUUAAAGGCAUGAUAACUGAAUAAAAAAUAAUGUUUACUUAGCUGAGUUUUGUUUUGUUGUGGAGAUGACUGUCUCAUUUGUUUAGCAAGGGGUUAAAUAGAAACUAAUCCCCUAGGCUUACUUUGAAAGGUGGUUAUCUUUCCAGCAACAGAGACCAUUGUUUGCUUUGCCAGAAACAGUGUAAUUGUUUCUUAAACCAGUAUGUUCUCUAGAAGAGUAAACUUAUGAGUAAGAGGAAAAAUAUCAUUGGCAUAAGCAUUGUGUUUGAAAGAUUCAAAAAAAAUGCAUGAAAUUACUUUAAUUUAUAUCUAACAAGCAGGCAUUUUACAUGAUGUAAGCUCUAUUAAAGCUUUUUGUGAAGUGAUUAUUUUGUGUCAGACAAGUGCUCUAAUAGAAGUUUCAUAGGUUAGGGGAAACAGAACAGUAGUAUGGUUGGCUCAAGUUAAUUACAUUUACUUAGAUGAAAUACUAUUCUCCGGUACUGUUCAGGACAAGCAGAGAAAAUAUGGAAACUUUUUUUAGAUAGCAUUUAUCUAUUUCAAUUAUUUUUGACAGUAUGUGUUGCAUGUGUGCUUUUGCUACAGUGCCUUUCUAUCGACAGUUGGUAGCACAAGCCUUUUAAAGCACAAAGGGUAGCAGUACUUCAGCCAAUCUGUGAUAAAAGGGGAAAAAUGAAAUCACUAUGGAAACUGCAGGAAGAAUCUAAAAGCUUUCUUUAUAAAGUAAACGUCUGAUGUUUGUGACUGCGGGGGCAAAAAAUUCAUAAAUCUGUAAGAUGCUAUCAUUUCUGAUUUGUUAUCGCAGCAAAUGCCAAGUCUAAGCAGUCUGACCUUAGCCUUAUUAAGUGCUUUCUUUUCAGAUACAGUUAUUAUUUGACAAUAGAGAGACUGCAGUGCUGCAGGGGGGAAAACUAAUAUAUUUAAAAUGUGUGUGUGUGUGUCUGUGUGCAUCUAUCUAUCUAUCUAUCUGUCUAUCUGUCUAUCUAUCUUUCUUUCUUUCCCCAUGAAGCUUCUGGAGUUGGGAACACUGAAUGUGGGAACUCGGGACUAUUAUUCUGAGCACAAUUCAGAAAACUCUGUUGCGUCCCAUUACGUGCCUUUCUUUGAUGUCAAAUUGAAAAUCUCUGAGCCUCUUCCUCCAAUCCAAAAGCAAAUAAAUACUGAAAGGAAGAAACCUCUCUCCUCUCAGCAGACAGGGCCUGCAAGACUGAAAAAUGAAGGUGACUGUGAGAGCUCUGAUGAACCUGUUUGGACAACAGACAGCACAAAUACCUGUCUCAGUGGAGGAGUUUAAGAGCACUGCAGAGAUCCUCAGACAGUGCAGAAUCUCUUGGCUUACACAGGCCACUGUCUUUCUCUCUAAACAAUACCAGCCAAGUUUCCUCUGUACAACUGAAGAGCUGCAGGAACAGAAGGACAGUAACUAAUACAGCUUUUAAAUUUCAAUCUCCUGGUCUUAUUAGGAAAAAAAUAAUAAUUAAAAAAAAAAAAAAAGAAAAGAGAGAAAGAAAGAAGAGAAAUAAAGAAAAGGAAAAGACAUGAAUUCUAAGGGACUUGGUGAGUAUUUUUAUUGCAUUUGGUUGCUUUAGCUUGGAGAUUAUUUUUAGUCAUAUGUAAUUCAUAAGUAGGAUUAGGGCUUUGAAUGAGUUUAUUUUUUGAUAAAGUUUUGUAAUUAUAGAAAAAUUUAAUGCCUGUUUCUGUUUUUCAAACUUUGAUACCUUUUGAAUUUCUUUGUUUUGUUGUUCUGCUGUAAUUAGUGUAUUAGCUUUGGAAGUUUGAUGUUUCAAGAUGCUCAAAACAGCACUGCUGUUCCUAGUCUUUUUGAAUAUAAACAUGUCCAGUGGUAAUAUGCACUAUUAUAUAUUACAUAUAUAAACAGAAAAACAGGCAUUAAUAUUGUUUUAGUAUAGCAGUUUUGAAAUAUAUUUAUAAUGACCAAAGCAAGGUAAAUACUUUCCUACUAAGUGUCUCAAGCUCUGAAAACUGUGUGAAUGUUUUAACUCAUAUUGAGCAAGUUUAUAUAUGAAGAUUUAAUCUAUGACAGAUGACAACAUGGAAUUAUUUGGCUAUAAAUGUGAGAAGGCAGAGCAAUUCUUGAUUAUAUUCAGACUUUAUGGUACAUUGGUGGAUGUUACUAUAAUGUGUGCUUAUGUUAUUAACAGUAAGGAUUUUCAGGUUAAUGGUAGAAAAACAGAGACAAUACAAUUCUUGCAAAAGCAGGUCAGUCUUUCAGUAAUAAAUAUAAAUCUUAAAAAAGAUAUAGUUUGACAUAUUGGCUUCAUUGUAGCUUUUUAUACAUAUAAUGAAAACCAAUUAUCUGUGGAGUAAAUUUGACUUUGUGGAAUGGAAUUAAAUUGCUUUUUAAAGGCUUCCUUAAACAGCACUAGCUGGAGGGAAGUCCAAUAACAUUUUUUGCUCUGAAUUGUAAUGACUUUGCUACAUCAAUAAAUCAUGUUGUAUUCUGACUUUUAUCAAAAGAUUCCAAGGAAGAAAACUAUACACGGCAGCUUGAAGCUACAGGGGCAGUCCUGCCUGUUUUUCCUCCAACCAGCUACUUUACUUCAGGCCCUUUGAAACCAGCAAUUCCUGUCGAUCAGCACUUAAAGUGGAUUUGCUGACAGAGCCGCGAAGUUGCCAGAGAUCCUCCCUGUGGCCAGCCUGCACCAAUACCCCCGGGGAGCCCCACACUGAGAGCCGCAGACCUCCGGGUGUGACGCAGUGGAUGAUUGAUUGUACCCGCCAGCUGGCUAAUAUCAUAAUUAACAAAGUUGCUACCAUGUCUGAGAAGUUUAAUCGAAAAAAUUGCCGGCAGUAUGAUGCCAUUGUCACAGAGAUCACAAGCACUGCAGUGUUGACUUUUGUACUGGUGGAGCCGCAGGACUAUGUAGAUGUGCAGAGAAGUCGUUCGUUGGGAUAACUAAAGUGAGCUGUGCUUGCAGACGGCGUGACUGGGCUCUGCUGGAGCUGGCCAGUGGCAUCCUGCCUCCGCUCUGCUCAUCACCGCUGGAGCAGCCAUGCUGCAGGAAUGCCAAACCUGGGAGCAGCUGCCUGAGACGAGACGUUGCAUGCAGGGAUGUCAGCAGAAGCACAUGGAAGCACAUCAGCAAGGUUUAGCUGGUGGAUCACGUUGUAAAAUCUGCAGCCAUGAAAGGCCCUCCAUUUAUUGCACCCUUCAAAACGAAAUAUUAGCAUGGGAGGCUAAGCUGGGUGUUAUGGAGUAGUGACUUCAAGUUCUGGUUCACAAGUAAAUCCAUGUCAGUACAAGGAGAGCUGUCGAUGAGAAAUGGAGGCUAAUAACGAAGGAGUCAGUGAAGGAGACCAAUGCCACAAGGGUUAUCUCGCAGCCCCAGAUGCUGGAUAAGUUGGAGGAGGCAGAAUCGCUUUUGGAUGAUAUUCAGGAAGGCCUUGAAUGAUUAUUUGGUGAAGAAAAGGCUAUUCUUUUCAAGGUUUUUCUCUCAAUGCAGAAAUGAUCUCUCAGGAAUCCUUUUUGAGACAAAGGAUCCACUCCAUGUCCAACCACACCUAAAGAAAUGCUUUGAAGGAAUUGCCAAGCUCACUUUUAAUCAUGAGAAAGAAAUUACCCACAUGGAGUCAGCAGAAAAUGAAAAAGUAGAGCUCGUGCUGCGAAUAAUUCCAGCAAGUGCCAAGGGGCUAGUUGAGCAAUGGCUUCAUGAGGUGAAUAUCUUUAGCUCUUACUUAGGGUUUAGUUACUGUAUAAUCAUUUUCUCUUUUAGGAGCAAUGAAUAUCAUAAGCAUAUUUCCUAACUAAACAGCUCUCUGAAUAUUUGUCAAGAUGUUGACAGAUUUCAGCCUUAUUGUUGUUAUUUAUUGCAGCUAAUUUAGCAACUGCAAAUGUGCAAAAAUUAAUUUUAAUGAAAAGCUCUCAGAGUCAGGCUGUCAGCAGAAGUGGGUCUGUGUCUGAAACCAUGUAUGUGAAUAUAUGUCCGAGUCUACAUGUAUGUGUUUUUGUGCUUUCAUGGUGUAAUGUCUGUAGCUGAUGAGGAAAACAUUUUUUAAACAAUCACAGAAAUGUAAGAUUUCAAAUGCUUCCACCCUGUAGAAAUGUAUCCCAUUGUGUUGGAGGGGUUUAAUUUCCAAUACAUUUUAACAAAAGGGAAGAGAAAUUACGUCACUGAUAACAUCCUAACCUUUCCCCUUCAGGCCACUAAUCCAAAUUCAUUGGUUUCAGCAAGAAAUUCGUUUGGUGACCUUUUUUUGUUGUUGUUCACUUUAUUUAACCUUCCUCUGCCAGAGGAUAGGAACUGGCCCUUUUCUUGUUUUUCAUUUCUGUGCCAAAACAAAACAAAACAAAACAAAAACCUUCCCCUUUCCCUAUGUCUCCGUUUCUUAUGGGGCAGGAUCAGCCCUGGAUACGCAGGGGCUGCCAGCCAGCAGGACGGAGCAGCCGGGGGGUGCUAUUUCCACUCCCAGAUAAUUCGGCUGACACCCUGUGUGCAGAGGGGCAGCAAAGCCCCGUGUGGGUAGUGGGUUGGGGGGGGUUGGCCCCAUUAUGUGUCACAUUUUUGCUGACUGGGUGAGCAAAGCUGAGCCCUCAAGCCCUCUCGUGUGUCCCUGUUGCCCACUGUGUCGAGCCACAACAACAUGCUAGUUGGGCCAAGCCCCUUUUUACAGCAGCUACAUCGCAUUUGAGGUGGUCCCACAACAGCAUUCUUUGGGGUAAGGUAGGGAGGAAAACACAUCAGGAUUUAGACAAACACAAAUGCUCCCCACCCUGUUCUCUGUGUCAAAUGACUACCUUGAUAUUUUGGGGAUUAGUUUUCAGCACAAAAUUUUCUUCCUUGGAGGGUGGGGGUGGGGAAGCUACAAUGGGUAAGUGGCAGUUCUGAGGAGCCCAGGAAAAGCCUAAAUUCUAUUACACUAAGCCUGCAAUAUGCUUUUUAGUUUUUACCUUCUCCCACAAAUGAAAGAUGUUUGGAGAGUUGAGCAGCUGUGUUUAUUUUAACACAUCUCAUUUAACCUUCACCUAAAAACAAAUUGGAAGGUUUGGGAGUGCAUUAAUCUGGACCCAAUUAGUGUCUCUUUCUCUCUCAAAAGUGCAACCUGAGAUUAAUGAAUAUAAACUAGAGUUUCAUAUGCAGUCUUUAAAUCAUUUGCAUGUUUUAUGCAUGAUAAUUGAAUUUAUUUAUGCACUUCCUUUCAUUUAGUGAUUUCUUGCUCUUUUCUAUGCUAUCAACAUUAUAUUAUGCAAGACACAGGAUUAUGGUAGGCAAGAAAGGAUAGCAGUAUAUAAAUCAAACCUGAUUUAAUUUUUAGUUCUAGUGUCAACAGUACAUCAGAGUUAAUAUUGGUAUCAUGCCGGUGGGGUACAUGCCCAGGAAAAUGUAAAAUAUUUUUGGUAAUGUAGAGGCUUUUAGAUUUAGAAGACAUUUCUGAUGCAGUUUAGUUUGCUUGCAAGUGUAUAAGCAAAAUUAUUUUCAAAUGGCAGUUAAAUUAUUGUAUUGACUUUUCAAUGACCGUAGAGACUUGUGUUUCAACUUGGCCAAUUAGUAGUAAUAAGAUGAAUAGUAAUUACAUUAAUAAAUAACUGUUUUCAGACCAGGACUCAGUAUCAUAGUCAGGCUAAGAAAAUAAGGGUAUUUUAUAAUUUGUCUCAUUUGGUCUUUGAUUAGGAGAAAAAGCACUUUGGAACUAUAGUAAAUCUUUCAUAGCCCAGAAUGUAGCAGUCCUAGGGACUAGUGAGCCAUAUUAGCUAGCAGCUCUGUGGUAGUAGCUGUUUCAGUGCCAUAGGUAGGGAAUUUUGCUUUGUUUCUUCACUUAAGCUCAGAUGUCUUAAAGAUUUCUUAGUGAUGGUCUCUGCAUUUUUAUAAUGCAUGCCAGGAAGCUACUAUGGCAAAGAGUUUUAAUAAGAUGCUGGUAGUGGUGCUUUCAAAGCUUUAACCUAUACCAGUUUCUUUUUUGUCUCUCGUCUUUCCUUAUGUGUUGAAAGAUGUAUGUGGAAGUGAUAUUUUUCUGUGGUGUCCUGUCUUUUAUCAGUGGAUUAAAUGGCUGUGUGUUGUGAUCGUUUCCUGAUCUCGUAGGUAGGAACGUGUUUAAAGGCUAAAGCUCUGUUAAUUUGUGAUGUAACCAUUUCAGUGUGUUUCUUGUCAUUGAAAUGUAGUUUAAAACGUUCAGUAAUGUAGCAUGAAAUUAUUGGUUAGUUUUGGAAUGGUGGUGAAAUCAUGUGAAGAAAAUAAGUAUUGCAUCUGAUCAAGAUAAAUUCACUCUAGUGUUUUAUGGCUUUUUAUUCCUAUGUGAUAGUAAUAAAGUCUCAUGUAGGGAUGGAAGCCAUGAAAUACAUUGUGAAAAAUCAUCAACUCAGAUGGGGCCAUCAGGAUAGCAUGCUGUAGUUGUAGAGUUCUUGAGAACGAUUGGAAGAUGAUUUAGUAUGUCACCACGUUGACUACCAUGUUUUGCAUUUUGUUUCUUCAUCCCUCACCCAUGUAGUUUGAUGAGAGGAAUUCAGUUUCUAAUGAGCUGAACCAUUUUACAUGUGGUCAGUGUUUAAACUGUUCAUACAUCUUUCAUUUUCUGCUAAAGAUAACACUGUAUAUGAAACACUAAACUAAGAAUUUAAUACAGCCAAUAUAAAAAAACAAAAUGAAUACAAGUAAAAACCAAUGAAUUUGUAAUUGUUUGAAAAUUAAGAAUGAAAAAAACAAACAAACAAAAAAAAGGUCUAACCUGUUAGCACACGGGCCAGGUUCUUUAUUUCCAUGUUCAAGAGCAAAUCUGAGAGAUGAUCUGGAGAUUGACAAAGAAUUCUCUUUUCCCUGCUUACAUUUCUUCGUGAAAGUGCAUAAUCUUUUCUCUGUCUGUAACUGAGAUAAAGGCUGGCAGUGUUGAGGGCAGAAACCAAUCUCUGACAAUGUCCUUCCAGUGCUGCCAUUCCACAUAUUGCCUUACUGCUGCAGCUGUUUAGCUCUUUUCCUUUGGGAAUAUUUUUGGGAAGUUUAUUUGUUCUGAUACAACUAUUUACAAUUUUCAUUCUGUAUUGUUUUUUCUGAAAUGUAUACUAAUAAAACUUUAUUGAUUUUUGGUA
Oxyura jamaicensis (ruddy duck) is the source of this 7155-nucleotide long non-coding RNA. RefSeq lists it as uncharacterized. NCBI's taxonomy places the organism in Eukaryota, Metazoa, Chordata, Aves, Anseriformes, Anatidae. The transcript is spliced from 8 exons. The record is from RefSeq and is a predicted model, not a curated record.